This is a long non-coding RNA of Saccostrea echinata, 434 nucleotides long. RefSeq lists it as uncharacterized. Lineage: Eukaryota; Metazoa; Mollusca; Bivalvia; Ostreida; Ostreidae. The record is from RefSeq and is a predicted model, not a curated record. The transcript has 3 exons.
GGCCCCUGGGACACUUGUUUAUUGUUGGUCUCAUAGGUGAAAUCAGAAUGCAGUAGUAACUGUACAUAAUAAAUUCUUUCAGAGAGAAGAAAACUGACAUUAAAGGAGAACCAGUAAGAUGUAUGAUGAAUCAAGAUGUGAUCGUGUGGGUCCUGUUCUGUGGAUGCCAUGAGAUGAUCUGUCUGUUCAUCUGAUAUCACUUGUCCUGAGUAUAUUUUCUCUCCUCAUAGCCCAAUCUCACUCAAAUUUAACUCAUAGAGUGCCUGUGGAUGGAGGGUAAAAAGUGACCUUGGACUAAUUAUCUAGGUCAAAGAUCGCAGAUGAUGUGAAGAAAAUAAGGAAGCUGAUGUUGAAAGAAGUAUAGAGUAUUUAAUGAAGUUUAUGAAUGGACUUAUAUAAUUAGAUGUGAAAGACUACUUCAUUGUUUACCAAGA